CUCCCUGUGCUUUCCCUGUGCAAACAAGAGUUUCACAGUCUGCUGAGCAGAUUCGAGCCAUUCUGCGUGGGAAAACAACCUUUAAAUAUCAUUAAAUCAGUCCUUUGGCAAGAAAAUUUACAGCUGGAUGAGGCUGCAAGAUGUUAAUCUUUGGAGACCUUUAUCCCUGGAAUUACUCAGUGACACCAGCAAUUAAAGGCC
Molecule: long non-coding RNA, 201 nt
Organism: Lepidothrix coronata (blue-crowned manakin)
Lineage: Eukaryota; Metazoa; Chordata; Aves; Passeriformes; Pipridae
Exons: 3
Source: RefSeq, a predicted model, not a curated record